RNAcentral lists this transfer RNA (71 nucleotides) under Stegodyphus mimosarum. It matches the Rfam family "tRNA". Rfam says of the family: Transfer RNA (tRNA) molecules are approximately 80 nucleotides in length. Their secondary structure includes four short double-helical elements and three loops (D, anti-codon, and T loops). Further hydrogen bonds mediate the characteristic L-shaped molecular structure. tRNAs have two regions of fundamental functional importance: the anti-codon, which is responsible for specific mRNA codon recognition, and the 3' end, to which the tRNAs corresponding amino acid is attached (by aminoacyl-tRNA synthetases). tRNAs cope with the degeneracy of the genetic code in two manners: having more than one tRNA (with a specific anti-codon) for a particular amino acid; and 'wobble' base-pairing, i.e. permitting non-standard base-pairing at the 3rd anti-codon position. The record is from Rfam by way of RNAcentral. Lineage: Eukaryota; Metazoa; Arthropoda; Arachnida; Araneae; Eresidae.
GCCUUCGUGGUGUAACGGUAGCACACUCGGUUUAUGUUCGAGCGGUUGUGGCUCUAGUCCCCGCAAGGGCA